RNAcentral lists this long non-coding RNA (3848 nucleotides) under Chrysemys picta bellii (western painted turtle). RNAcentral describes it as "lncRNA (ENSCPBG00000018538.1)". Lineage: Eukaryota; Metazoa; Chordata; Testudines; Emydidae. The record is from RNAcentral.
CCUCCCCAGCGCCGCCUCCCUCCGCCGGGCUUCCGGGAGCCCUCGUGAUCCGCUCCGCCGCCACCAGCGCAGCGCAGCCCGCAGCGAGCCCCGCUCGGCCGGUGACUGACCCGCGGGGCGGGGAGCUGGGCACACGCCGGGGGUCGCUGGCGGGGCCCGGAGCUGGGAGCGCCCCGUGCGCCCAGGGCGAGCGCCGGUUCGCCCGCCCCGCUGCACUGCGGGGGCAGGAUCGGGGCUGCCUGGCCUUCCCCAGUCACCCCCGUUCCAGGUCUCGGGGGGCUGCUUCUAGCAGGGUUCCCCGGUCCCUGGCUGGGGGGUUCCCCGGUCCUGCCAAGCCUGGUUAAUUGAUGGGGCCUGGGGGCUCCGGUUCGGGCGUGGCGUGGAGCUGUGCCACCUCUGGUGCCAUGGCUCUGGGGUUGUUAUCGCAGCCCUGACCUGGGACGCGCCCCAGCCUGGCACAUGCCACACGGAUCGUGGCCAGGAAUUCACUCUGUUGCUGUGUGCGGGGCUGGGGGCCGGCCCCACGGGUAAACGACAUGUUUGAGGCUGGAGAGCUCCGGGCGCGGCCUGUGGGAAGCCCCAGACGGUGGCCGGUGGCUGCAGGAUUUAUGGGGAUCCCUCCGAGUGGGGAGCUUGGUCUCGGGGCGCUCAGCCUCGCUGGAACCAGCUGCGAGUCCAGCCCCCGCCCCAGCUGUGCCAGGGCCCCUGGGCUGGGGCUGUCGGGUGCUAUCCAUGGAUGUGUUCUCUCCUCAGCCCGUGCUCUGUGCUAGAUCCUGCGCGCCAUGUGCUGGCUUCGUGCUGUGGCCCUGCUGCUCUGGGCAGGGCUGGGCCUGGCCCAAGAUUACCCAUUCCGGGACCCCACCCUGCCCUGGGAGCAGCGGCUGGACGACCUCAUCGGGCGGCUCACCCUGGGGGAGCUGGUGCUGCAGAUGGCGAGAGGUGGCGCUAAGUACAACGGGCCAGCGCCCCCCAUUGAGCGGCUGGGGAUCAAGCCCUACAACUGGAACACCGAGUGCCUGAGGGGGGAUGGGGAAGCCCCCGGCUGGGCCACGGCCUUCCCCCAAGCACUGGGCUUGGCGGCCUCCUUCAGCCCCGAGCUCAUCCACCGCGUGGCCAAUGCCACUGCCACGGAAGUGAGAGCCAAGCACAACUACUUCAUGUCCACGGGCAUCUACGGCGACCACACAGGCCUCAGCUGCUUCAGCCCGGUGCUGAACAUCAUGAGACACCCGUUGUGGGGCAGGAACCAGGAGACGUACGGCGAAGACCCGUUCCUGAGCGCAGAGCUGGCCGUGGCGUUCGUGCAGGGGCUGCAGGGCGACCACCCCCGUUACGUCAAGGCCAGUGCCGGCUGCAAACACUUCAGCGUGCACGGGGGGCCCGAGAAUGUGCCCGUCUCCAGGCUCAGCUUUGAUGCCAAGGUGCAAGAGCGGGACUGGAGAAUGACCUUCCUGCCCCAGUUCCAGGCCUGUGUGCGCGCUGGCUCCUACAGCGUCAUGUGCAGCUACAACAGGAUCAACGGCGUGCCCGCCUGCGCCAACAAGAAGCUGCUGACAGACAUCCUGCGGGCAGAGUGGGGCUUCCAGGGCUACGUGGUGAGCGACGAGGGCGCCGUGGAGUUGAUCAUGCUGGCCCAUCGCUACACACACAGCUUCCUGGAGACGGCCAUCGCCUCGGUGAACGCUGGCUGCAACCUAGAGCUGUCCUUCAGCCUGACGGAGAACGUCUUCAUGAGCAUCAGCGAGGCUGUGGCCAAGGGUAACAUCACGCUGGAGACGGUGAGGGCCCGGGUCCGGCCACUCUUCUACACACGUCUGCGGCUGGGGGAGUUCGACCCCCCUGCCAUGAACCCCUACAGCGCCCUCGACCUGAGCGCCGUGCAGAGCCCCGCCCACAGGAGCCUCGCCGUGGAGGCCGCCGUCAAGAGCUUUGUGCUGCUGAAGAACGAGGGGGGGACGCUGCCCCUCAGCGCCCAGGCCCUGGCCGGCAAGCGGAUCGCGGUCGUUGGUCCCUUUGCCGACAACCCCAGGGUGCUGUUUGGGGACUACGCACCCAUCCCGGACCCCCAGUACAUCUACACCCCCAGGAGGGGCCUGGAGACCCUGCCAGCCAACGUCAGCUUCGCCGCAGGCUGCAGCGAUCCCAGGUGCCAGUACUACUCGCCGGGCGAGGUGGAGGGGGCGGUCUGGGCAGCCGACGUCGUCGUGGUGUGCCUGGGCACAGGGACUGACCUGGAGACAGAGGCGAAGGACCGACGGGACCUGUCCCUGCCCGGGCACCAGCAGAAGCUGCUGCAGGACGCUGUGGCCUGGGCCGUGGGGCGCCCCAUCAUCCUGCUGCUGUUCAACGCGGGGCCACUGGACGUGGGCUGGGCCCAGGCCCACCACGGAGUAGGCGCCAUCCUGGCGUGCUUCUUCCCAGCGCAGGCCGCGGGCAUCGCCAUCAUCAAGGUGCUGCUGGGGGAGGAGGGGGCCAGCCCGGCGGGCAGGCUCCCGGCCACCUGGCCAGCUGGCAUGGACCAGGUAAGGCCCAGGGGCACCGGUGCUGGGGGCUCGGAAAUCGGAAAACCCCCAGCUCCCCCACCUAUUCCUGAGGCCAGCUUGGCACCAUGCCCCCCCAUGCCCACAUGGCACCAUGGCCUGUGGCUGACAUCUUCCAUCCCUUGUGGCUGCAGGUGCCAGCCAUGGAGAAUUACACCAUGGAUGGGCGCACAUACCGGUACUAUGGGCCAGUGGCCCCGCUCUACCCCUUCGGCUACGGACUGUCCUACACCACCUUCCUCUACCGGGACCUGGCCUUGAGCCCCACAGUGCUGCCCCUCUGCGCCAACCUCAGCGUCUCCGUGGUGGUGGAGAACACUGGGCAGAGGGAUGGUGAAGAGGUGAGAGCUCUCCCUGCCCCGGAUCGGGGGGCUGUGAGGCAGGGCAUGGCUUGGGGGGAAUGGGAUUGUCCUGUGGGCCCUGUGCCAGGCCAGCACUUAGCCCUGAUGGCUCCUCCCCUGUGGGGCCGGGGCGGUCAGGAGAGGUGGCGCCUUGCUGACUCCUGUGGCAUUGGGGUGAGGCAGUGCCAUGGUUCUGCUCCAGCCAGUCUCUCAGGUUAUCUCUGAGGGGUGACGCUGCCCAUGGAGAAGCAGCACCUGGCAGGACCCCUCGGUCCCUGCUGGCCUUGCCCUGGGCGUUUGGCUCCCCGUUGCUGUUCCCAGCCCACCUCUCCCCUCCCUGCAGGUGGUGCAGCUGUACCUGCGUUGGGCGCAGCCCUCCGUGCCGGUGCCCCGCUGGCAGCUGGUUGGAUUCCGCCGGGUGCCCGUUGCCGCAGGCCGGGCGGCGAAGCUGCUGUUCCUGGUGACCUACGUGCAGCGCGCCGUCUGGGCCGAGCAGUGGCAGCUGGAGCCGGGCGCCUUCACGCUCUUUGUGGGCGGGCAGCAGCCGGGCCAGGAGACACGGGCCAGCUCCGAGGUCCUGCGGGCGGAGUUCACUGUGACCGGCAGCACCCGACCCCUGAGCCGCUGCUAAGGACAGGGACCGUUUCUGGGGCACUGGAAUGGGAACUGCAGGGGGCUAGGAUGUGGCCAUGUGCGUUGGGGCUGGGAUCUGGCCCAGCACCCAGCUGGCUGUAGCAGGAAGCGGGGGCACAUGGCUGGCUCUAUCAGGGUUAGGAGGGCCGGCCCGGCACCUGGCUGGCUGUAUGCGGGGGCCCAGCCUGCACUUGGCUGGCUGUACUGGGGGGGUCGGCCCGGCACCUGGCUGGCUGUAUUCGGGGGCCUGGCCGGCUCUUGGCUGGCUCUACUGGGGACAAUGGGAGCUCAUUCACUCGAUGCACAAUAAACUUUGCCCAGCGUUGACCCCUAU